This 758-nucleotide ribosomal RNA is filed under the name uncultured Leptotrichia sp. Its description in RNAcentral is "bacterial SSU rRNA". It matches the Rfam family "Bacterial small subunit ribosomal RNA", at positions 63 to 837 of the family's 1533-position model. The record is from RNAcentral. Lineage: Bacteria; Fusobacteriati; Fusobacteriota; Fusobacteriia; Fusobacteriales; Leptotrichiaceae.
CUUUGGCGAAUCUGUGCUUGCACAGGCUAGCCAAGGCGGACGGGUGAGUAACGCGUAAAGAACUUGCCCUGCAGACAGGGAUAACAGACGGAAACGACUGAUAACACCUGAUACAAUUGCCGGCACGCAUGUGCCUGGCAAUGAAAUGAGAUGCUGCGGGAGAGCUUUGCGUCCUAUUAGCUUGUUGGUGAGGUAACGGCUCACCAAGGCGAUGAUAGGUAGCCGGCCUGAGAGGGUGAACGGCCACAAGGGGACUGAGAUACGGCCCUUACUCCUACGGGAGGCAGCAGUGGGGAAUAUUGGACAAUGGGGGCAACCCUGAUCCAGCAAUUCUGUGUGCACGAAGAAGGUUUUCGGAUUGUAAAGUGCUUUCAGCAGGGAAGAAGAAAGUGACGGUACCUGCAGAAGAAGCGACGGCUAAAUACGUGCCAGCAGCCGCGGUAAUACGUAUGUCGCAAGCGUUAUCCGGAAUUAUUGGGCAUAAAGGGCAUCUAGGCGGCCAGACAAGUCUGGGGUGAAAACUUGCGGCUCAACCGCAAGCCUGCCCUGGAAACUGUUUGGCUAGAGUGCUGGAGAGGUGGACGGAACUGCACGAGUAGAGGUGAAAUUCGUAGAUAUGUGCAGGAAUGCCGAUGAUGAAGAUAGUUCACUGGACGGCAACUGACGCUGAAGUGCGAAAGCUAGGGGAGCGAACAGGAUUAGAUACCCUGGUAGUCCUAGCUGCAAACGAUGAGUGCUAGGUGUUAGACCCUUUCCGG